RNAcentral lists this ribosomal RNA (250 nucleotides) under uncultured bacterium. Its description in RNAcentral is "partial 16S ribosomal RNA". It matches the Rfam family "Bacterial small subunit ribosomal RNA", at positions 86 to 339 of the family's 1533-position model. The record is from RNAcentral.
GCCGGUAGAGUGGCGGACGGGUGAGUAACGCGUAGGGAUCUACCUGGUAGUGGGGGACAACUUGGGGAAACUCAAGCUAAUACCGCAUACGCCCCAAGGGGGAAAGCAUGGGAUCUUCGGACCAUGUGCUAUCAGAUGAACCUGCGUCGGAUUAGCUAGUUGGUAGGGUAAAGGCCUACCAAGGCGACGAUCCGUAGCUGGUCUGAGAGGAUGAUCAGCCACACUGGGACUGAGACACGGCCCAGACUCC